CCUCGCCUACGGGACGCAGCAGUGGGGGAUAUUGGACAAUGGGGGAAACCCUGAUCCAGCGAUGCCGCGUGAGGGAAGAAGGUUUUCGGAUUGUAAACCUCUGUGGACAGGGACGAUAAUGACGGUACCUGUCAAGAAAGCCACGGCUAACUACGUGCCAGCAGCCGCGGUAAUACGUAGGUGGCGAGCGUUGUCCGGAAUUACUGGGUGUAAAGGGAGUGUAGGCGGGAAGGCAAGUCAGAAGUGAAAUUUAUGGGCUAAACCACUAAC
RNAcentral lists this ribosomal RNA (270 nucleotides) under uncultured bacterium. RNAcentral's name for it is "partial 16S ribosomal RNA". It matches the Rfam family "Bacterial small subunit ribosomal RNA", at positions 331 to 620 of the family's 1533-position model. The record is from RNAcentral.